This 843-nucleotide ribosomal RNA is filed under the name uncultured bacterium. RNAcentral's name for it is "bacterial SSU rRNA". It matches the Rfam family "Bacterial small subunit ribosomal RNA", at positions 586 to 1430 of the family's 1533-position model. The record is from RNAcentral.
AGCAGGAUGUGAANUCCCCGGGCUCAACCUGGGAAUUGCGUUNUGAACUGGGUGGCUAGAGUGUNUCAGAGGGGGGUAGAAUUCCACGUGUAGCAGUGAAAUGCGUAGAGAUGUGGAGGAAUACCGAUGGCGAAGGCAGCCCCNUGGGAUAGCACUGACGUUCAUGCCCGAAAGCGUGGGUAGCAAACAGGAUUAGAUACCCUGGUAGUCCACGCCCUAAACGAUGUCGAUUAGCUGUUGGGCAACUUGAUUGCUUGGUAGCGAAGCUAACGCGUGAAAUCGACCGCCUGGGGAGUACGGUCGCAAGAUUAAAACUCAAAGGAAUUGACGGGGACCCGCACAAGCGGUGGAUGAUGUGGAUUAAUUCGAUGCAACGCGAAGAACCUUACCUGGUCUUGACAUGUACGGAACCUUCCGGAGACGGAAGGGUGCCUUCGGGAGCCGUAACACAGGUGCUGCAUGGCUGUCGUCAGCUCGUGUCGUGAGAUGUUGGGUUAAGUCCCGCAACGAGCGCAACCCUUGUCAUUAGUUGCCAUCAUUUGGUUGGGCACUCUAAUGAGACUGCCGGUGACAAGCCGGAGGAAGGUGGGGAUGACGUCAAGUCCUCAUGGCCCUUAUGACCAGGGCUUCACACGUCAUACAAUGGUCGGUACAGAGGGUAGCCAAGCCGCGGGGUGGAGCCAAUCCCAAAAAACCGAUCGUAGUCCGGAUUGCACUCUGCAACUCGAGUGCAUGAAGUCGGAAUCGCUAGUAAUCGCAGGUCAGCAUACUGCGGUGAAUACGUUCCCGGGUCUUGUACACACCGCCCGUCACACCAUGGGAGUGGGGGAUACCAGAAGCAGG